Molecule: non-coding RNA, 73 nt
Organism: Sus scrofa (pig)
Lineage: Eukaryota; Metazoa; Chordata; Mammalia; Artiodactyla; Suidae
Source: Rfam
UCCCUGGUGGCCUAGUGGUUAAGGAUUCAGUGUUGUUACUAUUGUGGCUCAGGUUCCAUCCCUGACCUGGGAA